UAGGGAAUCUUCCGCAAUGGACGCAAGUCUGACGGAGCAACGCCGCGUGAGUGAAGAAGGAUUUCGGUUCGUAAAACUCUGUUGUUAGAGAAGAACAGCGCAUAGAGUAACUGUUAUGCGUGUGACGGUAUCUAACCAGAAAGCCACGGCUAACUACGUGCCAGCAGCCGCGGUAAUACGUAGGUGGCAAGCGUUGUCCGGAUUUAUUGGGCGUAAAGCGAGCGCAGGCGGUCAAUUAAGUCUGAUGUGAAAGCCCCCGGCUCAACCGGGGAGGGUCAGUGGAAACUGGUUGACUUGAGUGCAGAAGAGGGGAGAGGAAUUCCAUGUGUAGCGGUGAAAUGCGUAGAUAUAUGGAGGAACACCAGUGUCGAAGGCGACUCUCUGGUCUAUAACUGACGCUGAGGUUCGAAAGCGUGGGUAGCAAACAGG
RNAcentral lists this ribosomal RNA (429 nucleotides) under Bacteroidota bacterium. Its description in RNAcentral is "Bacteroidetes bacterium partial 16S ribosomal RNA". It matches the Rfam family "Bacterial small subunit ribosomal RNA", at positions 355 to 776 of the family's 1533-position model. The record is from RNAcentral. Lineage: Bacteria; Pseudomonadati; Bacteroidota.